UCAGAUUGAACGCUGGCGGCAGGCCUAACACAUGCAAGUCGAGCGGUAGAGAGAAGCUUGCUUCUCUUGAGAGCGGCGGACGGGUGAGUAAUGCCUAGGAAUCUGCCUAGUGGUGGGGGAUAACGUUCGGAAACGGACGCUAAUACCGCAUACGUCCUACGGGAGAAAGCGGGGGACCUUCGGGCCUCGCGCCAUUAGAUGAGCCUAGGUCGGAUUAGCUAGUUGGUGAGGUAAAGGCUCACCAAGGCGACGAUCCGUAACUGGUCUGAGAGGAUGAUCAGUCACACUGGAACUGAGACACGGUCCAGACUCCUACGGGAGGCAGCAGUGGGGAAUAUUGGACAAUGGGCGAAAGCCUGAUCCAGCCAUGCCGCGUGUGUGAAGAAGGUCUUCGGAUUGUAAAGCACUUUAAGUUGGGAGGAAGGGUAGUAACUUAAUACGUUGCUACUUUGACGUUACCGACAGAAUAAGCACCGGCUAACUUCGUGCCAGCAGCCGCGGUAAUACGAAGGGUGCAAGCGUUAAUCGGAAUUACUGGGCGUAAAGCGCGCGUAGGUGGUUCAGUAAGUUGGAUGUGAAAUCCCCGGGCUCAACCUGGGAACUGCAUCCAAAACUGCUGAGCUAGAGUACGGUAGAGGGUAGUGGAAUUUCCUGUGUAGCGGUGAAAUGCGUAGAUAUAGGAAGGAACACCAGUGGCGAAGGCGACUACCUGGACUGAUACUGACACUGAGGUGCGAAAGCGUGGGGAGCAAACAGGGAUUAGA
RNAcentral lists this ribosomal RNA (764 nucleotides) under uncultured Gammaproteobacteria bacterium. RNAcentral describes it as "bacterial SSU rRNA". It matches the Rfam family "Bacterial small subunit ribosomal RNA", at positions 24 to 782 of the family's 1533-position model. Lineage: Bacteria; Pseudomonadati; Pseudomonadota; Gammaproteobacteria. The record is from RNAcentral.